CAAAUAACCAAGAACCGGGAGCUGAAUGUGAGAGGUGGGCUCCAAAGGAUUCGGCCACCAAGGUGGAGAAGGAAAUAUACAUUUUCUAGAGCCCAAUCUGCCAGGAGAGAUCUAAGAGAUUACAAAGGAAAAAACUUGAAAUUCUGAGGACAGAGAAAAGAAAAAGGAAGAGUUAAUGACUAGUGAGACACCAUCAUGUAGACUGGUGCCACAUGGAAUCUGGGGCAACAGAACAUGAUCUAUCCAGAUGGACAUACAGGGAAAGCUGGUGCUGGGAAGCACCUUAAGCUACAUGAUUGCAAUAAAUUUUGCUCACCAGUGA
Molecule: long non-coding RNA, 322 nt
Filed under: Homo sapiens (human)
Lineage: Eukaryota; Metazoa; Chordata; Mammalia; Primates; Hominidae
Description: non-protein coding lnc-PZP-11:2
Source: RNAcentral